AGGUCAUCAGACUGCUGAUUAUCCCGCACACCUGUCACCAUCAUCUCGUGCACCUGCGCUUCAUGACACUCAUCUGGACUCCAUCACCUCCUUGAUUAUCUUCCCUAUAUCUGUCACUCCCCUUGGUUCUUUCCUCAGCGCACUCAUUACAGGUGUUCCUCUGCAAGAUCCAUAGAAAUACAUGGUUUAAGGAUCGGUGGGUCCCUCGCAGGACGGUUGAGCUAACUGACUACCGAUGGUAGCUAUAUGCAUGGAAGGAAUAAUACGACCAGAACAGUGUGAGCUUCAAACCCCCUAACCGGCUGAAGUAAUGGCGUUCACUAUGGCCUUGUCCUGCACCACUUCUACGGAGACCUGAGUCCGAGCCAGAAACCUGUGUAUGAGCGACAGGAGAGCUGCAUGGGUCCUGAGAACGUGCAUCUGGAGUGAGCAUGGAGAGGCAUUACGUUCAAACUCCUCUCAUGCUGCUGGUGCACUGGUGGGAAAAUGGACCGGACAGAAUGGUCUGUACAGAAUGGUGGUGGCAGCUAGCUCAGAUUCAUCUAUGGAGCCAGCAUUUGGAGACUUGCAAGAUGAUGUAAUGAUUGACAGACAGCCUUGAUACUCAUAUCUCUGAAUGGAGAGAGACCUGGCACUUUAGCAUAAACAUUUUACUACACA
RNAcentral lists this long non-coding RNA (660 nucleotides) under Salmo salar (Atlantic salmon). Its description in RNAcentral is "lncRNA (ENSSSAG00000106325.1)". Lineage: Eukaryota; Metazoa; Chordata; Actinopteri; Salmoniformes; Salmonidae. The record is from RNAcentral.